CCUACGGGUGGCAGCAGUGGGGAAUAUUGCACAAUGGGGGAAACCCUGAUGCAGCAACGCCGCGUGAGGGAAGGAGGAUCUCGGUAUGUAAAGCUCUAUUAGUAGGGAAGAAGAAAGUCGGACCCGGACCAAGAAGCCCCGGCCAACUACGUGCCAGCAGCCGCGGGAAUACGCAGGGGGCAAGCGUUAUCCGGAUUUACUGGGUGUAAAGGGAGCGAAGACGGGUGUGCAAGUCGGAGGGGAAAGCCCGUGGCUCAACCGCGGAACUGCUUUGGAAACUGUAUGGCUUGAGUACGGGAGAGGCAGGCGGAAUUCCUGGUGUAGCGGUGAAAUGCGUAGAUAUUAGGAGGAACACCAGUGGCGAAGGCGGCCUGCUGGACAGAAACUGACGUUGAGGCUCGAAAGCGUGGGGAGCGAACAGGAUUAGAUACCCUUGUAGUC
RNAcentral lists this ribosomal RNA (441 nucleotides) under uncultured bacterium. Its description in RNAcentral is "partial 16S ribosomal RNA". It matches the Rfam family "Bacterial small subunit ribosomal RNA", at positions 338 to 795 of the family's 1533-position model. The record is from RNAcentral.